GUUUAUAUAAUUUAAAUAAGAUAUUAGACUGUGACUCUGA
This 40-nucleotide transfer RNA is filed under the name Aneides flavipunctatus (black salamander). RNAcentral's name for it is "partial tRNA-His". Lineage: Eukaryota; Metazoa; Chordata; Amphibia; Caudata; Plethodontidae. The record is from RNAcentral.